This 84-nucleotide transfer RNA is filed under the name Micromonospora echinaurantiaca. It matches the Rfam family "tRNA". From Rfam's summary of the family: Transfer RNA (tRNA) molecules are approximately 80 nucleotides in length. The record is from Rfam by way of RNAcentral. Lineage: Bacteria; Bacillati; Actinomycetota; Actinomycetes; Micromonosporales; Micromonosporaceae.
GCGGGAGUGGCGGAAUCGGCAGACGCGCAGGUCUUAGGAACCUGUGUCCGUGAGGGCGUAGGGGUUCAAGUCCCCUCUCCCGCA